This is a microRNA precursor of Gorilla gorilla gorilla (western lowland gorilla), 89 nucleotides long. NCBI's taxonomy places the organism in Eukaryota, Metazoa, Chordata, Mammalia, Primates, Hominidae. The record is from Ensembl.
UGGAGAGCUUGGUCUGUAGCGGUUUCCUUCGGGGCAGGUGGGGACUGCUCCUUUGAGAGGAAGGAGGAGGCCCAGGCCGCGUCUUCAGG